UCGCUCAGGACUCCUGUGCACUACUUCCAACCCAGGACAGUCUGAUGUGUCAAAAAAGCAAGAGCUGCAACUUCAGUCGUGGAGCAAAUGGCAUAAAACAAUUUCUUCAUGUUGCCUUUCCCACUUCCAAUUCCUUCCUUCAUAGGCAAUUAUUCCCUAUUUUGGAUUUGUAUCUCUGUGUUUUUGUUUAUAAACAAACAUAUAAUGUAUAAAAUAUAUAGUUCAUGCAUAAACUGUGUAUAAGUGUAAUUUAUAAAACAUCUGGUAUGGUUUGCAUGCAUGUGUUUUAAAAAUUUACAUAAAUGGUAAUGUGCUUUAGAUCUAAUUCUGUUUCCUUUUUUUACUCAACAUGAUGUUUUUGAGGUCUGUUUGUACUGCUGUGUGUGCAUCUGGUGUGUGAGUCUCUCACAGCUGCAUGGGAUUCCACAGCGCAUAUUGAUCUUAUGAUGUAUGUUGAUUCAUCUGGAAGCAGACGCCUAGAUCGCCCCACUUCCCUGACUCCACAACAAACUGAGAUGAACAUUGUUGGACCAUCUGGCUUCCACCACUUCAUAUGGUUUUAGGAAAGUAUCCAGUUUUAUUUUUUCCCAUGCUGGGAGUCAGUUUUCCUGAGAUCAUCCCAGGAGGUCCUGGCCUCCGUGAGUACAGUUCUACUUUAUCAUAGCCUCGAACACCCUCUAUCAUGCUUGUGGCCAUUAUUGCUGUCAAGCUGUUAGCAUGCAGAUUCAUUAGUGGGGCUUUAGGGAAGGUGGUAAUAUCUAGUAGGUUAUGUUCCCCUUCUAUGCUCUUCUUUUUCCAUGUAGAUUUAGCUGUAUAUAGAUCUUAUUCUUU
Molecule: long non-coding RNA, 831 nt
Organism: Hyaena hyaena (striped hyena)
Lineage: Eukaryota; Metazoa; Chordata; Mammalia; Carnivora; Hyaenidae
Exons: 3
Source: RefSeq, a predicted model, not a curated record